RNAcentral lists this transfer RNA (69 nucleotides) under Oceanites oceanicus (Wilson's storm-petrel). Its description in RNAcentral is "tRNA-Arg". Lineage: Eukaryota; Metazoa; Chordata; Aves; Procellariiformes. The record is from RNAcentral.
AGGAAGUUAGUCUAGCCAAGACAGUUGAUUUCGACUCAACAAACCAUAGCCAAACCCUAUGACUUCCUC